CCCUUAGAUGUCCUGGGCCGCACGCGCGUUACACUGAUGCAUUCAACGAGCUUAUAACCUUGGCCGAGAGGCCUGGGCAAUCUUGUUAACGUGCAUCGUGAUAGGGAUAGAUUAUUGAAAUUAUUAAUCUUGAACGAGGAAUUCCUAGUAAGCGCGAGUCAUCAGCUCGUGCUGAUUACGUCCCUGCCCUUUGUACACACCGCCCGUCGCUCCUACCGAUUGAGUGUUCCGGUGAAUAAUUCGGACUGCGGCUGAUUGGGGACUCUUCAGUCGGCUGUGGAAAGUCUAGUGAACCUUAACACUUAGAGGAAGGAGAAGUCGUAACA
This 326-nucleotide ribosomal RNA is filed under the name uncultured eukaryote. RNAcentral's name for it is "partial 18S ribosomal RNA". It matches the Rfam family "Eukaryotic small subunit ribosomal RNA", at positions 1470 to 1796 of the family's 1831-position model. The record is from RNAcentral.